AGGGCACAGGGUGGAUGCCUUGGCACUAGGAGCCGAAGAAGGACGUGGUAGCCUGCGAUAAGCCUCGGGGAGCUGGCAAACGAGCUGUGAUCCGAGGGUUUCCGAAUGGGGGAACCCCGCACGAGUCAUGUCGUGUGACCCGCACCUGAAUAUAUAGGGUGUGUGGAGGGAACGUCGGGAAGUGAAACAUCUCAGUACCGGCAGGAAGAGAUAUUCCGUGAGUAGUGGCGAGCGAAAGCGGAUGAGGCCAAACCGGGCGCGUGGUAAAGCUGUCAGGCGUUGCGUGUCCGGGGUUGUGGGACCCUUCUGGUGGAUCUGACAGUCCACCGGGGAGUCAGAAAGUCGCGUCAUAGUCGAACCGCAUUGAAAGGCGGACCACAGACGGUGCCAGUCCGGUAGACGAAAUGGCGUGGCCUCCCGAAGGGGAUCCCAAGUAGCACGGGGCCCGUGAAAUCUCGUGUGAAUCUGGCAAGACCACUUGCUAAGCCUAAAUACUACCUAGUGACCGAUAGCGGACCAGUACCGUGAGGGAAAGGUGAAAAGUACCCCGGGAGGGGAGUGAAAUAGUACCUGAAACCGUGUGCCUACAAUCCGUUGGAGCCUCCUUGGUUGGGGUGACAGCGUGCCUUUUGAAGAAUGAGCCUGCGAGUUAGUGCUCAGUGGCGAGGUUAACCCGUGUGGGGAAGCCGUAGCGAAAGCGAGUCCGAACAGGGCGAUUCAGUCGCUGGGUCUAGACCCGAAGCGAAGUGAUCUAGCCAUGGGCAGGUUGAAGCGCGGGUAAGACCGCGUGGAGGACCGAACCCACCAGGGUUGAAAACCUGGGGGAUGACCUGUGGUUAGGGGUGAAAGGCCAAUCAAACUUCGUGAUAGCUGGUUCUCCCCGAAAUGCAUUUAGGUGCAGCGUCACGUGUUUCUUGCCGGAGGUAGAGCUACUGGAUGGCCGAUGGGCCCUACAAGGUUACUGACGUCAGCCAAACUCCGAAUGCCGGUAAGCCAGAGCGUGGCAGUGAGACUGCGGGGGAUAAGCUCCGUAGUCGAGAGGGAAACAGCCCAGACCACCGGCUAAGGCCCCUAAGCGUGUGCUAAGUGGGAAAGGAUGUGGAGUUGCACAGACAACCAGGAGGUUGGCUUAGAAGCAGCCACCCUUGAAAGAGUGCGUAAUAGCUCACUGGUCAAGUGAUUCCGCGCCGACAAUGUAGCGGGGCUCAAGUACACCGCCGAAGCCGUGGCACCUGCGUUGAACCCAGGCCUUCGUGGUCCAGGGGCGCAGGUGGGUAGGGGAGCGUCGUGUGGGCGGUGAAGCCGCGGGGGAACCCAGCGGUGGAGGCCACACGAGUGAGAAUGCAGGCAUGAGUAGCGAAAGACGGGUGAGAAACCCGUCCGCCGAAUGACCAAGGGUUCCAGGGCCAGGUUAAUCCGCCCUGGGUAAGUCGGGACCUAAGGCGAGGCCGACAGGCGUAGUCGAUGGACAAGGAGUUGACAUUCUCCUACCGGCGAAGAACCGCCCAUACCGAACCCGGUGAUGCUAACCGCCCAAACCCGCCCACCGACCCUUCGGGGUCACCGGGCGGGGGCGCGCGGGACCCGAACCGGUACUAGGUAAGCGUAUUAACAGGGGUGACGCAGGAAGGUAGCCCGGCGUGGCGAUGGUUGACCACGUCCAAGGCCGUAGACCGUCGGGUAGGCAAAUCCGCCCGGCAACAGGUUGAGAGCUGAUAGUGAGCGCACAAGCGCGAAACGGGUGAUCCUAUGCUGCCAAGAAAAGCCUCGACGCGAGGUUCUAGCCGCCCGUACCCCAAACCGACUCAGGUGGUCAGGUAGAGAAUACCAAGGCGAUCGAGCGAAUCGUGGUUAAGGAACUCGGCAAAAUGCCCCCGUAACUUCGGGAGAAGGGGGGCCCGAAACGUGAACACCCUCGCGGUGGGAGCGUGGACGGCCGCAGAGACCAGGGAGAAGCGACUGUUUACUAAAAACACAGGUCCGUGCGAAGUCGCAAGACGAUGUAUACGGACUGACGCCUGCCCGGUGCUGGAAGGUUAAGAGGACGGGUCAACCCCUCGGGGUGAAGCUCAGAAUUUAAGCCCCAGUAAACGGCGGUGGUAACUAUAACCAUCCUAAGGUAGCGAAAUUCCUUGUCGGGUAAGUUCCGACCUGCACGAAUGGCGUAACGACUUCUCCGCUGUCUCAACCGCGAACUCGGCGAAAUUGCACUACGAGUAAAGAUGCUCGUUACGCGCAGCAGGACGGAAAGACCCCGGGACCUUUACUAUAGCUUGGUAUUGGUGUUCGGUGCGGCUUGUGUAGGAUAGGUGGGAGACCGUGAAGCCCGCACGCCAGUGCGGGUGGAGUCAACGUUGAAAUACCACUCUGGCCGCUUCGGAUGUCUAACCUCGGUCCGUGAUCCGGACCAGGGACAGUGCCUGGUGGGUAGUUUAACUGGGGCGGUUGCCUCCUAAAAUGUAACGG
Molecule: ribosomal RNA, 2466 nt
Filed under: Cellulosimicrobium cellulans
Lineage: Bacteria; Bacillati; Actinomycetota; Actinomycetes; Micrococcales; Promicromonosporaceae
Description: bacterial LSU rRNA
Rfam family: Bacterial large subunit ribosomal RNA
Source: RNAcentral